AGCAGAACCUGUCACUGGUCUAAGACUCGUGACUUUUAACUUCCACAAAGGCUGCAGAUUCUAAUGAUCAAUGGACACAAGCUUUGGACCUGUCCAUUUCAACACUGAUUUCAAACCACGUGUCAUACAGUGCAGCGGGUGCUGCUGUCGGCUCCUCUCCCGUCCCAAAGCACUCACAGGCGGACAGUCCUCGCGCAGUAGCCCCGCCCAGCUGCAAUCAGAGCAG
Molecule: non-coding RNA, 226 nt
Organism: Paramormyrops kingsleyae
Lineage: Eukaryota; Metazoa; Chordata; Actinopteri; Osteoglossiformes; Mormyridae
Source: RefSeq, a predicted model, not a curated record